RNAcentral lists this ribosomal RNA (253 nucleotides) under uncultured bacterium. RNAcentral describes it as "partial 16S ribosomal RNA". It matches the Rfam family "Bacterial small subunit ribosomal RNA", at positions 524 to 776 of the family's 1533-position model. The record is from RNAcentral.
UACGUAGGGGGCAAGCGUUGUUCGGAGUUACUGGGCGUAAAGGGUGUGUAGGCGGUUCUUUAAGUUUGGUGUGAAAUCUCCCGGCUCAACUGGGAGGGUGCGCCGAAUACUGAGGGACUAGAGUACGGGAGAGGAAAGUGGAAUUCCUGGUGUAGCGGUGAAAUGCGUAGAUAUCAGGAGGAACACCGGUGGUGUAGACGGCUUUCUGGACCGUAACUGACGCUGAGACACGAAAGCGUGGGUAGCAAACAGG